This 775-nucleotide ribosomal RNA is filed under the name uncultured bacterium. Its description in RNAcentral is "bacterial SSU rRNA". It matches the Rfam family "Bacterial small subunit ribosomal RNA", at positions 8 to 801 of the family's 1533-position model. The record is from RNAcentral.
AGAGUUUGAUCCUGGCUCAGAAUGAACGUUGGCGGCGUGGAUUAGGCAUGCAAGUCGCGCGGGUGUAGCAAUACACCAGCGGCGAAAGGGACAGUAAUAUGUAGAUCAUCUACCCUCGGGUCGGGGAUAGCCGCGGGAAACUGCGGGUAAUACCCGAUAACGUCUGCGGACCAAAGGUGUGAUUCCGCCCGUGGAUGAGUCUGCAUCCUAUUAGCUAGUUGGUAAGGUAACGGCUUACCAAGGCCAUGAUGGGUAGCAGGUGUGAGAGCACGACCUGCGUCACUGGGACUGAGACACUGCCCAGACACCUACGGGUGGCUGCAGUCGAGAAUCUUCGGCAAUGGGCGCAAGCCUGACCGAGCGACGCCGCGUGUGGGAUGAAGGCCUUCGGGUUGUAAACCACUGUCAGAGGGGAGGAAAUGUACGUGGGUUCUCCCACGUACUUGACCUAUCCUCAGAGGAAGUACGGGCUAAGUUCGUGCCAGCAGCCGCGGUAAGACGAACCGUACGAACGUUAUUCGGAAUUACUGGGCUUAAAGGGUGCGUAGGCGGCGCAGUAAGUUGGGUGUGAAAUCCCUCGGCUUAACCGAGGAAUUGCGCCCAAAACUACUGUGCUUGAGGGAGAUAGAGGUGAGCGGAACUUAGGGUGGAGCGGUGAAAUGCGUUGGUAUCCUAAGGAACACCGGUGGCGAAAGCGGCUCACUGGAUCUCUUCUGACGCUGAGGCACGAAAGCUAGGGUAGCAAACGGGAUUAGAUACCCCGGUAGUCCUAGCC